Molecule: small RNA, 46 nt
Filed under: Cyclobacterium marinum DSM 745
Lineage: Bacteria; Pseudomonadati; Bacteroidota; Cytophagia; Cytophagales; Cyclobacteriaceae
Description: Acido-Lenti-1 RNA
Rfam family: Acido-Lenti-1 RNA
Source: Rfam by way of RNAcentral
UCAAGGGCUGACACCCUUGGCUGUGGUAUUGCGCCCCGUCAGGGCU